Molecule: ribosomal RNA, 311 nt
Filed under: uncultured bacterium
Lineage: Bacteria
Description: bacterial SSU rRNA
Rfam family: Bacterial small subunit ribosomal RNA
Source: RNAcentral
GGUUUCGGCUAUCACUUUAGGAUGGACCCGCGGUGCAUUAGUUAGUUGGUGAGGUAAAGGCUCACCAAGACCGUGAUGCAUAGCCGACCUGAGAGGGUAAUCGGCCACACUGGGACUGAGACACGGCCCAGACUCCUACGGGAGGCAGCAGUAGGGAAUCUUCCACAAUGGACGAAAGUCUGAUGGAGCAACGCCGCGUGAGUGAAGAAGGUUUUCGGAUCGUAAAACUCUGUUGUUGGAGAAGAACGUAUUUGAUAGUAACUGAUCAGGUAGUGACGGUAUCCAACCAGAAAGCCACGGCUAACUACGUG